AAAGGUCCAAUGUUGUAUGAUUAAUAUGCUUAUGUUAGUGUCCAGUCUAUGGAUACUCUGAAAUGGAAUAUUGGAGGAAAACAAAAUACAACGGCCUUCUAUCCGCAGUAGAGAUCGCCCAUCAACGAGGACGUUGUUGUAGGACCUGACUAAGCUCAUCACUAGGUUAGACCGCGUUCGGUUUUCUGUUGUAAUAAGGCUCGCAGGCUGGUUCUAUCAGCUGCCGCUCGUAGACAGGUUCAGGGAGUGCUCGCGCACGUCCCGGUCUUUUCCGUUUUACUUUGAUCUGUUCUCCCGGUUGGAUUAGCGCAUGACUCGCAGCUGUGGGAUGGCGCAGCGACAUGCGGAUGGUGAGCGAGCCAGCCAGGAGUUAGUUAGCAGGUUAGUUAGGGACUUUGUAAUCGAGAGAUAUACAUGGUCAGGAAUAACAGAAAAGGUCAAAAGGUCUGGCGAUGCAAAAACCUCUCUCUCUCGCACGAUCUCGUUCGAACUCGGUUGAUCUCGUUGGUUUGACACCAACAAUUGGUAUCAGAGCCUCGGUGUUCGAUCCGCAGCUCCGGCGACCAGUGGUGUACGAUCCGCGGUGGCCAUGUCCGACAGCGAGACCGACAAGAACAAGACCGGCAAGAAGAAGGAAAGCUCGCCAAGCUCGCCGCCGCUAGCGCGUCUCACAAGAGGCGGCAACGGCGAGUUCCGAGUGGUGGAGCGGGUGGUGCGUGAGGAGUCCGGGAUGACCAUGAUGCUCACCCGCACCAACUACAUGGAGUGGGCCUUGUUCAUGCAGGUGAAACUACAGGCCUGCAGGCUCUGGGCGGCGGUGAACGCCGGCACUGACGACGAGCGCGACGAUCGGCGUGUGCUGGCCGUCAUCCUCACCAACGUGCCGCCGGAGCUGAUUCGGGUGCUGGCGGCCAAGGAUACCACCAAAACCGCGUGGGAGACGAUCAAAACCCCGCGUAUGGGCAGCGAGCGCGUCCGGGAAGCCAAGGCGCAGGUGCGGCGCCGUGAGUUCCAGGAACUCAGGUUCAAGGACGGCAAAUCCAUUGAGGACUUCGCGCUGCGCCUGACGGGGAUCGUCGCUGACCUAGAUCUCUACGGUGAUCCUGUUACGGAACACAAAGCUGUAUAGAAGUUCCUACGGGUCGUGCCACGCAAGUACCUGCAAAUGGCGAUGGCCAUCGAGUCUCUCAUCGACCUCAAGACGAUGAUCGUCGAAGAGCUGGUCGGACGACUCUCGGCUUGUGAAGAUCAUUACGAUAUGGAUGAUGCCCCCCAGUCGGGCGGUCAUCUCCUGCUCACUCGCGAGGAGUGGCUUGCACGCGAGCACCAGUACGGCGGCGGCGCAACGUCGCACGGCAACGGUGGCUCCUCCUCCGGCGGUGGAGGUGGCAAGAACAAGUCGCCGGGGAAACCCAAGCAAGCGAACGGUGGCAAGCCCGGAGGCGCGGGCGGUUCCGGCGGGAAGAAGAAAGGCAAGUGCCACUACUGCAACAAGUCGGGCCACUGGAAGAAGGAGUGCCGCACCAGAAUCAAGGAGGAAGAGGAGCAGACCAAGCAGGGCCAAGCGCACCUUGUCCGAGAUGGGGAUGAGCACCACGAAGGCCUCAUGAUGGCCACAGUCACCAUGUCUGUCACUAACAGACUCGUGGCGCCCCAGCAAGUUCACCUGAAUGAAGAAAAAGUGCAUCCGGAGAUCUCACCGCCAGGGCUGUGGUAUUUCGAUACAGGAGCCACAGACCACAUGACGGGGGACAGGGGCAUGUUCAGCACUCUGGAUGAAUCCGUGCAGGGCACUGUGAAGUUCGGAGAUGGAUCUCAUGUCGCAAUCCGUGGAAGAGGUUCGGUGAUCUUCAGAGGGAAGAGUGGCAACCAACGCACUGUUAGAGGUAUACUUCAUCCCAAGUCUGCGCAGCAACAUCAUAUCUGUUGGUCAGCUAGAUGAAGUGGGGUGCAGGAUACAAAUUCAUGAGGGAUCAAUGACAAUCCAUGACACCAGUGGGCGCAUGAUGGCUCAUGUCAGGCGUUCGAGCUGUCGCUUAUACACGGCCGUGCUCACCAUUGACACGCCAGCGUGUUUGCUGACGAAGAACGACGACGAGACCUGGCGUUGGCACGCAAGGAUGGGCCAUCUACACUUCAGGGCACUGCGUGCUAUGUCUACCAAGAACAUGUUACGUGGGAUGCCACCGAUCGACCGCGUCGACGAGUACUGCGACGGGUGUGCCCUCGGCAAACAACACCGCACACCAUUCCCUCAGGUAGCAGCAUACAGGGCCAAGCAAGGUUUGGAGCUUGUCCACACGGACUUGUUUGGCCCAAUCAACCCUCCCACCGUCGGAGGGAACCGGUAUUUCCUGCUCGUCGUUGAUGAUUUCAGUCGCUAUAUGUGGUUGUCAGUACUGAAAUCGAAGGAUGAAGCGUACAGCUGUUUUAAACGGAUUCAGGGUAUCGCUGAGACUGAAGGGAGAUGCAAGCUGCGGGCCUUUCGGUCCGACCGGGGAGGUGAGUUCAACUCCGGUGAUUUCAUGGAGUACUGCGAGAAGCUCGGCGUCAAGCACUACACCACUGCACCAUAUUCGCCGCAACAAAAUGGGGUCGUCGAGCGGCGGAAUCAAACCGUGGUUGAGAUGGCGAGAUGCUUGCUCAAGAGCAUGGCCAUGCCCGCAACCUUCUGGGGAGAGGCUGUUAGAACAACAGUCUACAUCCUGAACCGGUCCCCCACGCGCAGCCUCGAUGGUGUCACGCCUUAUGAGGCUUGGCACGGCCGUAAGCCCAAUGUGUAGCACCUGCGCACUUUCGGCUGCACGGUUCAUGUGAAGAAGCUGGGACCAGGGACGACGAAGCUAUCCGAUUGAUCAACGCCAAUGGUAUUCAUCGGAUACGAAGAAGGAGCAAAAUGCUACCGGGUGUAUAAUCCAAUCACCAACAAACUGCAGGUAACUCGUGAUGUCUUAUUUGAGGAAAGCAGGCCAUGGAAUUGGGACGAGCCGGGCACAUCCGCAGCAAUGCCCGCGCCGCCUACGUUCACGGCGGUCUACGCCACUGGACCUGGAGAGCACGAGCUGGACACCGGCGGCGCCACACACCAGCAGGCGAACAGUGACGCGGCGGCACCCUCCACACCAGCUCUAGGGUCACCGCGGUCACCCAUGUCGCCGGGUCCUGGGACUCCACAGCCCCACACGGUCCCGACUCCAGCGACAAAGGAGGAUGUCUCUGCUACACCCGCUGCAGUCCGUAGCAUGGGCUGGGCCACGCCUUCAACACACGACGAUGCGUGAGAUACAGACUCCGGGCCUAUUCGCUAUCGGCGCCUCGAGUACUUGCUCGACGAGACUGAGAGCGAAGCGGUGCGGGAGUCCACCGAGCGCUGCUUGCUCAGCGCCGAAGAGCCGCGUAACGUCGGGAUGGCACUCGGGGACGCAGCGUGGAAGGCCGCCAUGGACGAAGAGAUGCACUGCAUCGAAGAGAACAAGACCUGGCAGUUGUGCACACUCCCGGCAGGACAUAAGGCGAUUGGUUUGAAAUGGGUGUUUAAGGUGAAACGAGAUCCAGCCGGCAACAUUGUCAAGCACAAAGCUCGCUUGGUGUCUAAGGGCUAUGCACAGCGAGAGGGGGUGGACUUCGAUGAUGUCUUCGCACCGGUGGCCAGGAUGGAAACAGUCCGUGUUCUUCUUGCCCUUGCCGCACAUUCGUAGUGGGAGGUGCAUCACAUGGAUGUGAAAUCGGCUUUUCUGAAUGGGGAGCUCAUCGAGGAGGUCUAUGUAGCUCAGCCACCCGGGUACGAGGUCACUGGACAAGAAUCUCGGGUACUGAAGCUGCAAAAGGCACUGUAUGGUCUUCGACAGGCACCAAGGGCAUGGUACGCGAAGCUUGACGAGUCACUAACCUCACUUGGUUUCAUCCACAGCCCUUUGGAGCAUGCUGUGUACAGGCGAGGUGAUUCUACUUCAUAUCUCCUGGUUGGGGUCUAUGUUGAUGAUCUCAUCAUCACAGGGACGGAGGUGUCCGCCAUUGUCAGCUUCAAGGAUCAAAUGCAGCGGCUGUUCAAAAUGAGCGAUCUAGGUUUGCUGAGUUACUACCUGGGGAUUGAAGUGUCACAAGAAAAGGCGAUGAUCACGCCGCACCAGAGAAGUUACGCCGCCAAGGUAUUGGAAGCUGCCGGUAUGAGCAAUUGCUACAACUCUGCAACUCCCAUGGAGUGUCGCCUGAAGCUGAACAAGGAAGAUGGAGGCGAGCAUGUUGAUCCCACCAUGUACCGCAGCGUGAUUGGCAGCCUGCGAUACCUUGUCAACACUCGCCCGGACAUCGCCCAUGUUGUCGGCAUUGCAAGCAGAUUCAUGGAGAAGCCUAGCUCGCACCAUUGGGCGGCUGUGAAGCAGAUUUUAAGGUACAUCAAAGGAACUUUGGAUUAUGGGUGUUGUUACAAGCCUGGUAAUGGGGAAGUAGCUUUGCUAGGGUAUAGCGACAGUGAUCAUGCAGGUGAUAUAGGAGAUCGAAAGAGCACCUCCGGGCAAGUUUUCUUCAUCGGUGAAAAUCCGGUCACUUGGUGCUCCCAGAAGCAAAAGAUCGUGGCCAUGUCCUCCUGUGAAGCCGAAUACGUUGCGGCAGCAGCAGCGACAUGCCAAGGGUUGUGGCUGUCUUGAUUGGUUGGUGACUUGUUGGGCAAACCGACAGAGAAGUUCAGACUCUUGUUGGACAACCAGGCCGCCAUUGCUCUCAGCAAGAACCCUAUGUACCAUGACCGUAGCAAGCAUAUUGACAUCAAGUUUCAUUUCAUUCGGGGUUGUGUGGAUACUGGUCAGGUGGAGAUCAGCCAUGUCCGCUCUCAAGAACAGCUCGCCGAUACUCUGAAGAAGUCGUUGGGGAGGGUGAACUUCAUCGAGAUGAGGAAGAAACUUCGGAUGAUCAAGAUAGAUGCUGGGUGCUGAGCUUAAGGGGGUGAAAUGUAGGACCUGACUAAGCUCAUCACUAGGUUAGACCACGGUCGUUUUUGUGUUGUAAUAAGGCGCGCAGGCUGGUUCUGUCAGCUGCCGCUCGUAGACAGGUUCAGGGAGUGCUCGCGCACGUCCCGGUCUUUUCCGUUUUACUUUGAUCUGUUCUCCCGGUUGGAUUAGCGCAUGACUCGCAGCUGUGGGAUGGCGCAGCGACAUGCGGAUGGUGAGCGAGCCAGCCAGGAGUUAGUUAGCAGGUUAGUUAGGGACUUUGUAAUCGAGAGAUAUACAUGGUCAGAAAUAACAUAAAAGGUCAAAAGGUCCGGCGACGCAAAAACCUCCCUCUCUCACACGAUCUCGUUCGAAC
This 5301-nucleotide long non-coding RNA is filed under the name Hordeum vulgare. RNAcentral's name for it is "long non-coding RNA (HVUL_LNC011326)". Lineage: Eukaryota; Viridiplantae; Streptophyta; Magnoliopsida; Poales; Poaceae. The record is from RNAcentral.